RNAcentral lists this transfer RNA (64 nucleotides) under Acanthopleura vaillantii. Its description in RNAcentral is "tRNA-Met". Lineage: Eukaryota; Metazoa; Mollusca; Polyplacophora; Chitonida; Chitonidae. The record is from RNAcentral.
AAUAAGAUAAGCUAAGAUAAGCUAUUGGGCUCAUACCUCAAAUAUGAGAUUUUCUCUCUUGUUA